CGGCGCGGAGCGCGCUGCCGGCGGGCGGGACGGACGGAGGGAAGGGAGGGAGGGAGGCGCUGGCUCCCCUGCCUGGUUUCGGUCCGCCGGUUCCGCGGCGCUGCUCGGGCAGCAGAGCCGCCGCCGAAGCAAAUGGGGAGGCGGCACUGAGCGGGCUGCCCUCCGCGGGAGUCGGCAUCCGAGGGCAGCGGCGCGGCGAGCGAGCAAUGCCCCUCACUUCUCUGCUUGCGCUGCCCUUCCUCCUCCCUCUCCCGGUUCUGAAGCUUUUGUUUUCCCCGACCGCUGUGAUGGCAGGAAACUUCCCGGAGGGAUGGGCUCAGGCCGGGCUUGUGCUGCGCCGGGCUCCGCAGGGCUCCGGCCACACCGUGAGUCCCUGCAGAAUGCUUCAGCUUCCUUUCCUUCAUCGUGUUCUCAGCUUGUGGAGUCAUAAACCUGAGUGGAACUUCGGAUGGAAAUACUGACAUGAACUUGAGAACUUUGAUUCUUUCGAACCUUGAAUUUUGAUUGUUAAAUGACCAGUUCAAAAUACUACCUGAACAAGAUGAAAUGCCUUGAAGACCUUUGGUUCUG
RNAcentral lists this long non-coding RNA (570 nucleotides) under Parus major (Great Tit). Its description in RNAcentral is "lncRNA (ENSPMJG00000001190.1)". Lineage: Eukaryota; Metazoa; Chordata; Aves; Passeriformes; Paridae. The record is from RNAcentral.